Molecule: unclassified non-coding RNA, 352 nt
Filed under: Bombus terrestris (buff-tailed bumblebee)
Lineage: Eukaryota; Metazoa; Arthropoda; Insecta; Hymenoptera; Apidae
Description: misc RNA ENSBTSG00005035007.1
Source: RNAcentral
CGAAAUGAAAUCGUAACGUAAAUUGAACUGAAGCUUUCUGCCAAUAUCACAGAAACUAAGGCCGACCGACGGUAGCAUGCAUAGGAGAAGGUUAUUCAGAACGUUGACCUCGACAACAUAUUUCAGGAUCAUUGAAAUCGAUGAAGUGGUCCGCUUUUGUUACAUUUUCAGAAAUGUUAUAGAAAUUUUACUUAUGUUGACUCCGGUGAAGAAACAUAUAGGUUACUGAUAUAUGGAUCGAAAAUUUCAUCGUGAUCGAUUGAUACAGAAAAGAAAGGCAGGCAUCAGAAGAGGAAGAAUUCUUUAUAUUUAUUAUUAAAGUUAUACAUAUAUUAUAUAUAUUAUAUUCAAC